Molecule: long non-coding RNA, 1146 nt
Organism: Sander lucioperca (pikeperch)
Lineage: Eukaryota; Metazoa; Chordata; Actinopteri; Perciformes; Percidae
Exons: 2
Source: RefSeq, a predicted model, not a curated record
ACACACACACACACACACACACACAGACCCAUGUAGCUACAGCCCAAACUGUAUAAGGGGUUUAUCUAGCUCUGUAAAGCCAAAGCGGAGAUAUAAAGACACACACAGAGCGACAGAGAGACUUUACGGGCGUGUUUGAACGUUUCUAAAUCUCGAAUAAUAUGUCUUCACCUGCUGAGGCGAGUGUGUGUGUAGCUGUUUGGCCUGUGUCUGUGAACGUCAGGAUACCUUUAGUCUCCAGUGGAUGCCUCACCUGCUGCUCACAUCAGGUUAUCAUGUGCAUGCAGUGCCAGACAUGAGAAUGAAGAGACAAACAUGAGACGUGCACCUUCAAGUCACCAGUUACUACAUCAACCUCAAAGGCCAUUUCAGUCAUUUUUCUUUCAUCAAAUAUACUGUGCAAAGUACAUGUAUUUGAUUCAUAGUCAUGUGUCUCUUAUUGGCUUUAAGCUGCAGUGCAACACUUUACCUGGGCCUUUACUUUGUCUGGGCCUGUAAGGUAAAGUGGACACAGAGAAGAAUUAAGUUAAGAGGCCUAUCAAUGUAACUUAGAACCGUCUCACACUCCUAGCUUUAAAGAGACUAGCAAGGCUUUUUGUUGCUCUCACUGAGAAUCACUGACACAAGCCUCUCAGCCUAAAUCCUAAUUGUAUCUGGAAACAAACUGAGCAUCCACUAUUUAACUAUUCCUCCUCUCUGCCCAAGAAGUGAGUUGUAGUGAGUAAUUGUUAUUGACCAUGGAAUACUGUUCGUUCCUUUUAAAAUGAUGAUCUAUCUGAAAUUUAGACUUACAAUGUGUAUCUCUAUUGUGUGUAUCUCACACAGAUACUGUAAGUGUACAGUAAUUGUUUAGGUCAAAACUAAGGCACUGUAUUCUGGGCAACUCUCCACUAUCACAAAUACAUAGAAAGGCUGUAUGUAAUAACUCUUAUUAACAUAAUGCCUUACUCAAAGCCUUGCAAGUAAGUAAGAAUGGAAAUAGUUUUGUUGGUGUUUAAUAGAUAAUAUUGUAAUAAUAUUGUGUACAUGUGCAAUAAAGUUUAUUUUUGAUGUGUCAACCCUGUAAAAGUAAUCAAAUUCUGUAAGUCCACAGCAUUUUACUUGUGUUACCUUCUAAUGUUUUAAGUAAAGUAAAAUCAGACUCAA